GAGCGGACAAUUUUUAUUUCAGGAAGAUUAGCCAAGGGAUUGUAUGCACAAAAUGCUUGCACAGAUGCGUAAUGCCAUCGUUUGAAUGAAAUUAGCCAAGGUACAAGAUUGCAUGCUGUAGUAUUAUGGGACCAAUAGGGCCCUUCGAAAAGGUUCCAUUCAUUUCUCCACAAUAACAUUAUCUUAAAGAAAGUUCGUACUUUCGGCAAAAAAGGACCACCAUCACUAUGAUGCCUCGAGUCGUAGUGAUCCAAGUGCCAAAUGUACCUAUAUGUAUGGAUAGUAUAAACUGUCCAAAUAAAAAUAAUUGAAUAGAGAACAAUGGGUUUAGACAAAAGCACUUCCAUCACCCUCAUUUAUAAUUUCAGUUGAAUUUCUACAAGUUAGUUGCAAAUGUUGUAGGUGGAAAAUAUAAGCUAUUUGAAGAAGGAAAAGACUACUUGUCCAGGGCCCAUGUGGUUCCGGACGUAUAGCAUCCCUUGAUUCCCUUAUUUGAAAAGGAGAUUUGUAAUUAAGUAUACCAAAUGGAAGAGUCAAGCCUGCUUCAUUUGAAGCAGAAAAAUAAUUGAUUGACUUUUGUGUUGGAUAGCGUUUGAUGGUCGCA
This 604-nucleotide long non-coding RNA is filed under the name Olea europaea subsp. europaea. The record is from RNAcentral. Lineage: Eukaryota; Viridiplantae; Streptophyta; Magnoliopsida; Lamiales; Oleaceae.